RNAcentral lists this small nuclear RNA (258 nucleotides) under Notechis scutatus (mainland tiger snake). RNAcentral's name for it is "7SK RNA (ENSNSUG00000002969.1)". It matches the Rfam family "7SK RNA". Rfam says of the family: 7SK was discovered as an abundant small nuclear RNA in the mid-70s but a possible function has only recently been suggested. Lineage: Eukaryota; Metazoa; Chordata; Lepidosauria; Squamata; Elapidae. The record is from Rfam by way of RNAcentral.
GGUCAUGAACAUUUUGGUUGUAGCAUUUGUCAUCCCAUCACAUACUAGGGUUGUUUUGGUUGAUAUGGCUAGGCUAGGUGGAUGUCCUUUUUCUUCCUCACUGUUCCGUGUGUCUCCACCCGUGAAGUGUACACACAGUAGAAGAAAAUGACCAUUCAGAAAGGAGUGUGUUGAUCUUCAGUCAAGGGUAUAGGAUGGACAUGAAACAUCCCACAAUAUUACAAGGAAUAUGCUACUUUGGUGAUAUUGCAUAUUUGU